UGCCACUGUGGAGUAACUGCAGUCUCCUUUGUUUUGUGGCUCUGUGUGUGUGUGUGUGUGUGUGUGUGGUGUUGUGCAUAUGGGAUGGAGCUAGAAGUCAGCACUGGGUGUCUUUAUCUUCCUCUAUUGCUCUCUACUUUUUUUUUUUUUGGUUUGCUUGUUUGUUUUAUUAAGACAGGGUUUCUUUGUGUAGCCCUGGCUGUCCAGGAACUUGCUCUGUAGCCAACAUUGGCCUUGAACUCACAGAGAUCCAUUUGCCUCUGCCUCCUGAGUACUGGGAUUAAAGGCAUGCUGAUGUACCGCCAUUUGAGCUGGAAGGAGGGCCAUUGGCCUGUGAGCUGGGUGUUGGCGCUUUCAGAACAGAAGCCGGGCUCUGAGCCCCGCACCCCGUCUCGACCUGUAAGUGCUGGACAGGCACAGAGGAAGUGGCAGCUUCAAGUCUUCUUUGGACCAAGCCCAUUUUCUGUAGAAAAUGACAGGGCAGAGUGUAACCCGGAGAAGUAUCACAGAACAGAGGUGGAUGAGACCAAGCAGGUACCCUGAACCCCAAGUUCCCCUUGCUGUUUGAAACACCAGAUAACUGGGGAGACACCCCCCUUCUGUGCUGCACACUGCAGGUGCAGCUUCUUUCCCACCUUUCGUGCAAAAUGCAAGUUUCUCUCUGCUUGGGUGGAAUGGACACCUGGUUGGCAUGUUUCCCCAGCAGAGUCGGGUUCUCUUCCAGACAAAUGGGGAAUGUGUUUGUAUGUGUGAACAGCCUGGUUCGGUCUCCACCUGUGAACACAGCAAUAAUCCCUAGGUGCCUCAUUUCCUCUGUAUUCAACUGGGAAACAUCUCCGGAUUUCUAAGCUUCCAGCCCCAGUCAGUAACCGCCCAGUCUUGGUGGCCAGACCUCCAGGCUGAGCCAUGUGUCCCUCAGCCUGAGCUGUGCAAAUUCUGCCCUUGCCAGGAGAGGAGCUGACAGUGCAUUCGAUUUAUUGAGUUUUAGACAUUCUUUCCGGCGUGGAUCAGAACAGAUAUUUUUGUUCUGAGCGGCAGGUCCCAGGCAAGCUGGGAACAGUGCCUAGUUACGGGGGAGCUCGGGGAAGGGGUGCACUUGGUUCUCAAGCAAUUAUCAUCCUCCAACAGCUAAACACACCCCAAAGCGAUCCAUUUUCUCACUGCAGAGCAAAGGCAUCGGAUCGGUUUUUGUGGUAACUAUGCAAUUAGCUCUCCCUGGCACUGCGGUGACUUCUUGGGGAGUGUGUUUGCUACAGAGCACAGUGACAACUGAUUGUGAUCUACGACAUAACAUUUCAGAAAGUGGACUCUGAUUUCAUAUCGUGGAGUCAAGCCUUUCAUCAGAAACAGUUUACUGGCUAAGUUAAGACAGAGGUCCAGGAGGGGCGGCCCAAGCUGGUUGUAAGGUGGGGGUCAGGAGGGGCCACUGGUCUGUCUACUGAGACAGUCUGCUGUCUCAUGAUCCAGCCUCUUAAGAGACCCCGAGAGGCUGUACCACAGAGCUCUCCUGUAAGUCCCUGUCUUUGGAUAUCCUGGCUUUGUGCAGCUAGAGGUAUUCCAAGCACUGGGUGCUUUAUACAGAGUCUGCAGGAGAAGCCACGUGCAAACCAAGGCUCAGAAUAAUCGGGAACUGGGAAAUCUCAGGUAAAAAAUCGACCUCCCUUUGUUGGAACAGGCAAACAGACAGAGAGAGCAAGGUGGGGCUGGGCUAAUUAGCGCCGACUUGAACUUUUCGUUUUGUUCUUUUUCACUCUUGUGGUUAUAUCGAAGCCUCGAGAAGCCUGAAGUCAGGCGGGAAGAGUCCUACAGUGUCCUGUGCGUGCCAAACAAGACAUUGUCCUAGCUGGGUGUGGUGGUUCACAACUUGCUCAGCAGGUGAAAGUGGGGAAACGACAUAAAGACAUAGACAUACCUUCCCAAGCCUCCAUCAAAAAGAGCAAACAUGGUGACCGGCUGUCCUACGCAGGUGAGAGAGAAGCCGUGGGCUCUGUAACAAGGGACAGGGCUUUACAAAUGGCAAUGACCUUGGAAUUUAUCUCUCCUCUCAGUACUGCAUGGUUCUGUUAAGCCGAACGGGGCACGGACAGGCUUCUGAGAGCUAAGGAUCUAGGGGAGACUGCUCAGGCCUUGGAGUCCUGCUCCCUGCAGACUGGACAGGCUUCAUCUUCACUGCUUUAUCUGCUCGUGGAAAGGCCAGGGUCAAGGGCUUUAAGACAAGACGUGUGGUGACCUCAAAAUGAAACCCUGUGUCUGCCCACUUGUCCUGAAAGUUGUCAUCUGAGCCCAAGUGGCCAUAUUAGCUGUCAGAACCAUACAGAGGUGACAUUGAGCUUUGGAGGGCCAGGUUGUUCAUGGGCUGGGGUACCAUGUGAUGCUGAGCUUCCAAACAUCACCAUCUCACACGCCAAGGUGCUGCCAUCUACUCUGCCAUCCACCCUGAUGAAGAAACCAUGGGGAAAUUAACAAGGGCAGCUGUGGCGCACACCCCUGUCACUUCUACACUCAGGAGCCUGAGGCAGGAUUGUGGGUUCCAGACCAGCCGGGCUGUAGAACAGUCCUGUGUCUAAAAGAAGAAGUCAUCGAGAACUGGAGAAUGCAUGCAAGCAGGCCUGGUGGCUUAAAUGAGGAGCAGCAUUUGUGGUCAGGCUGACUCCACAUGGUGGAAAGGGAGCUGAUGCCUGCCAGCUGUUCUCUGACUUCCACAGGCACGGAACAAAGGAGCCACCACACUCUGUGGGAAAGCUGUGGCAUAACCCUGGGAUGAAAUUCUGAGCUGGAGAGAUGGACAG
Mus musculus (house mouse) is the source of this 2789-nucleotide long non-coding RNA. RefSeq annotates it as predicted gene, 36749. NCBI's taxonomy places the organism in Eukaryota, Metazoa, Chordata, Mammalia, Rodentia, Muridae. The transcript has 4 exons. The record is from RefSeq and is a predicted model, not a curated record.